GGAGGUUAGAGUGAGAAAGAGAAAUCAGUUAGUUGGAUGACAGUUGGUCAGCUGGAGAAGAGAGAAGCUGAGCUGGAGGCUUGGAGAGACAUGGGUUUUAAACAGGGGAUAUUUCUCUGGUGAAGAGAGGAGUAGGGCUUAGGUGGAGGCAAGGGUGAAUCUGUUCUUCACUAAAAAGCCUGUUCAGAGGUAGUCCUCAGGAGAGAGGCUGAAAAGAAACUCUGUAACCAAGCAAGGCACCUAAAUCCCUGAGUGAAGAAAGACUGUUAAUAUCUCUGUCAGGACUCUGUAUCUCCAUUUACCUAAAUAAAGCUAGUCCUGAUUUAUGGCACUAGACAGAAAGAGAUUAACGACAAGGUCCUUAGAAGAAGGGAUGGAUGCCUGCUACUGUCUCUCUAUUCUGACUGGCAAUGGUUUGGCACAGUCUGAGGCAAACGCCUUUCCUAGUCCUGCUACCCGAGAUCCUUUAACUGGAGAUGUUGGGAAUUGAACUGCAGACCUACGCAUGCAAAAUAUACAAUCUAGGAGCUAUGGACCCUGCUCAUUGUUGUUGCAUCUCCAUUAACUUCAGCUGGCCUUAAAGACAUAAAAUGAGUACA
This is a long non-coding RNA of Hemicordylus capensis (graceful crag lizard), 599 nucleotides long. RefSeq lists it as uncharacterized. Lineage: Eukaryota; Metazoa; Chordata; Lepidosauria; Squamata; Cordylidae. The transcript is spliced from 3 exons. The record is from RefSeq and is a predicted model, not a curated record.